Molecule: RNase P RNA, 365 nt
Filed under: Candidatus Woesearchaeota archaeon
Lineage: Archaea; Nanobdellati; Candidatus Woesearchaeota
Description: RNase P RNA component
Rfam family: Archaeal RNase P
About the family: Ribonuclease P (RNase P) is a ubiquitous endoribonuclease, found in archaea, bacteria and eukarya as well as chloroplasts and mitochondria.
Source: RNAcentral
GGGUUAGUACUUAGCUUCGGCAUUUGUAAAAUGCUGAGGAAAGUCCACCCACCUCAAGGCAAAACGUUGACUCGUUAAGAGAGCCACUCGCGGAAGCGAGCUCUAGCGAUAGAGGGCAACCGCUCAGAAACGAUACCGCUGCAAAGCAGGAUGAUAUUUGCGAAGGCGUCUGCGAGGACGCUGAACUAACCAACUGACGUUCUUGCAGCAUGGAUGAAACGGCGAGCCCCUGGCUGGUGCAAGUCUUAUAAAGACGCUUAGUUUAAUGCUAAGGCAGGCUAUCGUGAUUGUGUCGAUAAAUGCUUUGCAUUUUCGACAGCAAUAAUCACAUUCAGGGCCUGACAAAAGGUGGCUUAUUCUAACCC